CAAUAGCGUAUAUUAAAGUUGUUGCGGUUAAAAAGCUCGUAGUUGGAUUUCUGCCGAGGACGACCGGUCCGCCCUCUGGGUGAGUAUCUGGCUCGGCCUGGGCAUCUUCUUGGAGAACGUAGCUGCACUUGACUGUGUGGUGCGGUAUCCAAGACUUUUACUUUGAGGAAAUUAGAGUGUUUCAAGCAGGCACACGCCUUGAAUACAUUAGCAUGGAAUAAUAAGAUAGGACCUCGGUUCUAUUUUGUUUGGUUUCUAGGACCGAAGUAAUGAUUAAUAGGGACAGUUGGGGGCAUUUUUUAUUCCAUUGUCAGAGGUGAAAUUCUUGGAUUAAACGGAAGAAAAACUAACUGCGAAAGACAUCU
RNAcentral lists this ribosomal RNA (365 nucleotides) under uncultured eukaryote. Its description in RNAcentral is "bacterial SSU rRNA". It matches the Rfam family "Eukaryotic small subunit ribosomal RNA", at positions 592 to 956 of the family's 1831-position model. The record is from RNAcentral.